CGCAUUGCCAACGAGGAUGCGAGAACCCCGAAAGGGCUUUGGCUGCUAGGGGGGGGGGGGUGAAAGAGCGUUGUUGGAAGAAGGAAGCGAGCAGCAAAGUUUUCUUAGUAGUUUCGCUGGAAGCAAGGAGCAACGGAGUGCAUAAGAUGUGUGGUGGGAUUCUUGGGUGUUGGGCAUUCGUGUGGGGUGAGGGGGGGAUGUGAAAUGGCGAGAUGCUAAGGGUUUUUUUUUUUCAGUACUUUGGUGGAAUGACUGGCAGGAGUAGUUCUUCGCAGAAAAUCGUCGGUCGGGUCUCAGGAGGCGAAAGAAGAGAGAGCACGCUGCGUACUAUGAGCUCAAAACGCCAGGUUUGUCAAAUGCGGUAUAGCAAGAACCGGCAGGCUCUUUCAGACUGCGAGGAACGACGUGCAAGCGGUUUAGGUGUUUGAGUACGGCGAUGUACGUGCUCAUGCGUCGAGGCUUCGGUCACUAUCUCAGCAAACGAGCAAGAGCCACUGAAAUGCUUCAUCAUGGACACGCUUGAGUUUCAGAGCGCCCCAAGGUUGCGCGCCCCUCAAAGCCCACGAUGUGCGCCAAUCCAAGACACUUGGGGAAGCGCUAACUACCACCAGCUGCGAUUUUGGCUUGGAUAGGCGUUUGUUCCGCUGAUUUGGUCUGUGCAAAAAAUAUCACAUACUUCAGUCAUUGGAAGAAGGAAGUGCUUGAUAAUUAGUACGAGCGUCUUUGAACUUUACAGCUUAUUCUUCCCAACAUGUUUCCUCGAGUCUGAGUAAACUAAUAUAUAUAUAUGUAUGCAUAUAUAUGUGUAUAUAAGGAGCGCCACUUCAUAACGCGAAACGGAGAUGUAGGCCUCUGCUCUAGAGCGAUUGGUGUGACCAUGGCUCUUUUCGCGUGAAAAAAAAUCACGAACCUUUCAUUUUCCACCGCUGUGUGCUUUGCUCUUUCUAUUUCAUUCAAUUCGAUGCACGCUUUUGUUUUCGAUUCACUCUCUGCUCCUAG
Molecule: unclassified non-coding RNA, 999 nt
Filed under: Leishmania donovani
Lineage: Eukaryota; Euglenozoa; Kinetoplastea; Trypanosomatida; Trypanosomatidae
Description: gene:unknown
Source: RNAcentral